CGAAGGGGGCUAGCGUUGUUCGGAAUUACUGGGCGUAAAGCGCGUGUAGGCGGUUGCCAUAGUCAGGUGUGAAAGCCUUGAGCUCAACUCAAGAAAUGCACUUGAUACUGGGCGACUAGAGGACAGGAGAGGAUAGUGGAAUUCCCAGUGUAGUGGUGAAAUACGUAGAGAUUGGGAAGAACACCAGUGGCGAAGGCGGCUAUCUGGACGGUUUCUGACGCUAAGACGCGAAAGCGUGGGGAGCAAACAGGAUUAGAUACCCUGGUAGUCCACGCCGUAAACGAUGGGUGCUAGACGUUGGCGAGCUUGCUCGUCAGUGUCGCAGCUAACGCGUUAAGCACCCCGCCUGGGGAGUACGGCCGCAAGGUUG
Molecule: ribosomal RNA, 370 nt
Filed under: uncultured organism
Description: bacterial SSU rRNA
Rfam family: Bacterial small subunit ribosomal RNA
Source: RNAcentral